AUUGAACGCUGGCGGCAUGCUUAAGACAUGCAAGUCGAACGGUAACGAUAGAAAGCUUGCUUUCUAGGCGACGAGUGGCGGACGGGUGAGUACAACUUAGGAAUCUGCCUUACAGCUGGGGAUAACGUGGUGAAAACCACGCUAAUACCGAAUACGCCCUACGGGGGAAAGCGGGGGAUCUUCGGACCUCGCACUGUUAGAUGAGCCUAAGCCGGAUUAGCUUGUUGGUAGGGUAAUGGCCUACCAAGGCGACGAUCCGUAGCUGGUCUGAGAGGACGAUCAGCCACACUGGGACUGAGACACGGCCCAGACUCCUACGGGAGGCAGCAGUCGGGAAUAUUGGACAAUGGGCGCAAGCCUGAUCCAGCAAUGCCGCGUGUGUGAAGAAGGCCUGCGGGUUGUAAAGCACUUUCAAAUGUGAAGAAAUGUUGGUUGUUAAUAGCAGCUAGCCUUGACGUUAACAUUAGAAGAAGCACCGGCUAAUUUAG
Molecule: ribosomal RNA, 488 nt
Filed under: uncultured Gammaproteobacteria bacterium
Lineage: Bacteria; Pseudomonadati; Pseudomonadota; Gammaproteobacteria
Description: bacterial SSU rRNA
Rfam family: Bacterial small subunit ribosomal RNA
Source: RNAcentral